This 585-nucleotide ribosomal RNA is filed under the name uncultured bacterium. RNAcentral describes it as "bacterial SSU rRNA". It matches the Rfam family "Bacterial small subunit ribosomal RNA", at positions 338 to 914 of the family's 1533-position model. The record is from RNAcentral.
CCUACGGGAGGCAGCAGUGGGGAAUUUUUCGCAAUGGGCGCAAGCCUGACGAAGCAACGCCGCGUGGAGGAUGAAGGUCUUCGGAUUGUAAACUCCUGUCGACCGGGACGAAUGCACUCGACCUAAUACGUCGGAAUGUUGACGGUACCGGUGGAGGAAGCCACGGCUAACUCUGUGCCAGCAGCCGCGGUAAUACAGAGGGUGCAAGCGUUGUUCGGAAUUAUUGGGCGUAAAGCGCGUGUAGGCGGUUAUGCAAGUCAGAUGUGAAAUCCUUCCGCUUAACGGGAGAAGUGCAUUUGAAACUGCAUGACUGGAGUACGGGAGAGGAGAGUGGAAUUCCCGGUGUAGAGGUGAAAUUCGUAGAUAUCGGGAGGAACACCAGUGGCGAAGGCGGCUCUCUGGCCUGAUACUGACGCUGAGACGCGAAAGCGUGGGGAGCAAACAGGAUUAGAUACCCUGGUAGUCCACGCCGUAAACGAUGGGCACUAGGUGUAGGAGGUAUUGACCCCUUCUGUGCCGAAGCUAACGCAUUAAGUGCCCCGCCUGGGGAGUACGGCCGCAAGGUUAAAACUCAAAGGAAUUGAC